RNAcentral lists this ribosomal RNA (487 nucleotides) under Nephasoma pellucidum. RNAcentral describes it as "partial 16S ribosomal RNA". It matches the Rfam family "Bacterial large subunit ribosomal RNA", at positions 1819 to 2598 of the family's 2925-position model. Lineage: Eukaryota; Metazoa; Annelida; Sipuncula; Golfingiida; Golfingiidae. The record is from RNAcentral.
CGCCUUUAGAACAUAUAAUUAAAGGUCCAGCCUGCCCAGUGAACCCUUCAACGGCCGCGGUAUCCUGACCGUGCUAAGGUAGCACAAUCCCUUGCCUUUUAAUUGAUGGCUAGUAUGAACGGCUAGACGAGUGUGACCUUGUCUCUAGUAGGCCCCAUAUAAACUAACCUUCAGGUGAAGAGGCCUGAAUUCCAAAGCAGGACGAGAAGACCCUAUCGAGCUUCACUAGUCAUAAGCCUUUAUCGCUUAUAAAAGUUUUGUUGGGGCAACAAAAAAUCAAACAAAGCAUUUUUCCUGGCCCACGGCAAAUAUGCCAAAACCUGACCCGGCUCACGCCGACUAUAAGAAAUAGCUACCGUAGGGAUAACAGACUAAUUCCUUCCAAGAGCUCACAUUGACGAAGGAGCUUGGCACCUCGAUGUUGGCUUAGGGCCCCUACAAAAGGCAGCACUUUUGUAAGCAGGUUUGUUCAACCUUUAAAGCCCUA